Molecule: ribosomal RNA, 774 nt
Filed under: uncultured Neocallimastigales
Lineage: Eukaryota; Fungi; Neocallimastigomycota; Neocallimastigomycetes; Neocallimastigales
Description: partial large subunit ribosomal RNA
Rfam family: Eukaryotic large subunit ribosomal RNA
Source: RNAcentral
GUAGUCUCGCACAGAUGCAUAUCAAUAAGCGGAGGAAAAGAAACUAACAAGGAUUCCCCUAGUAACGGCGAGUGAGGCGGGAAGAGCUCAAAUUUGAAAUCUUAAAGGGUUUCCCUUUACGAAUUGUAGUUUAAAGAAGUGUUUUCUGUUGAGGUUUUGGUAAAAGUUCUUUGGAAUAGGACAUCAUAGAGGGUGAGAAUCCCGUAUUUGACCUUUACUUUCAACUUUGUGAUACACUUUCAAAGAGUCGGAUUGUUUGGGAAUGCAGUCCAAAAUGGGUGGUAAAUUUCAUCUAAAGCUAAAUAUUGGCGAGAGACCGAUAGCGAACAAGUACCGUGAGGGAAAGAUGAAAAGAACUUUGAAAAGAGAGUUAAACAGUACGUGAAAUUGUCAAAAGGGAAGCGUUUGACACCAGUGUUGUUUUUCUGAAAAUCAAUUAAAGAACUGUUUAUGCUAAGCUGUUUAGACUUUAUCAGCUAACUGUUUAGUUUUGAGCUUUUCUUUAAUGCACUUUUCAGUUAACAAGUCAACAUCAAUUUCUUUUGCUGUAAAAAAGCUUGAGGAAGGUGGCUUGAGAUUCGUCUUAAGUGUUUAUAGCCUCUUGCCUAUGCAGUCGGAGAGAUUGAGGUCUGCAGCGUAGAUCCUUCGGGGCUAAAUGCAUUUGUGCUAAGUUAUAGCAUUUUAUAGACAACUUGUUGACUAUGAUUUGUCUUGUAGCUUACUCGCUUAUGUUAUUUUACCUACGCUUAGGAUGUUGAACUACUGAGACAUAGA